RNAcentral lists this ribosomal RNA (484 nucleotides) under uncultured bacterium. RNAcentral's name for it is "partial 16S ribosomal RNA". It matches the Rfam family "Bacterial small subunit ribosomal RNA", at positions 28 to 523 of the family's 1533-position model. The record is from RNAcentral.
GACGAACGCUGGCGGCGUGCUUAACACAUGCAAGUCGAACGAUGAACCCGGAGCUUGCUCCGGUGGAUUAGUGGCGAACGGGUGAGUACCACGUGAGUAACCUGCCCUUGACUCUGGGAUAACUGCGGGAAACUGUAGCUAAUACCGGAUACGACCCUCGGCGGCAUCGCCAGGGGGUGGAAAGAAUUUCGGUCAAGGAUGGACUCGCGGCCUAUCAGCUAGUUGGUGAGGUAACGGCUCACCAAGGCGACGACGGGUAGCCGGCCUGAGAGGGUGACCGGCCACACUGGGACUGAGACACGGCCCAGACUCCUACGGGAGGCAGCAGUGGGGAAUAUUGGGCAAUGGAGGAAACUCUGACCCAGCGACGCCGCGUGAGGGAUGAAGGCCUUCGGGUUGUAAACCUCUUUCAGCAGGGAAUAAGCGAAAGUGAAGGUACCUGCAGAAGAAGCACCGGCUAACUAUGUGCCAGCCGCCGCGGUAA